This is a long non-coding RNA of Pezoporus flaviventris, 2023 nucleotides long. RefSeq lists it as uncharacterized. The transcript is spliced from 3 exons. Lineage: Eukaryota; Metazoa; Chordata; Aves; Psittaciformes; Psittacidae. The record is from RefSeq and is a predicted model, not a curated record.
CUCCCUCCAGUGCCCAUCCCAGCCUCCUGGCUGGGGUUUGGCAGGGAGAGGCCUCUGCUACAUCCCAUUCCUGGCAGGUAUGUUCUCCCUUAGGGUUCCCAGCGCCUCUAGCUGUGCUAACAAGCCACUGCUUCCCCACCAGCAGGCAAUACCAGCCUCAGCACUUUGCCUACCUCCUGUGCAGUAAUGCAGAGGAGAAAAGGCUCCCUAGUUUAUUUGCUUUUCUUGUGUAUUAUAGAUGCUGUGACACUAAGCCAGACCUCAUUUAUAUGUAACUCACUGCACUUGUCCCUUUAAAUUAUAAAGGCACACAACUGUCUAUAAAAUGGCUUAACAUGUACCUGUAGUAUAUAAUUAGCAUUGCAUGGGAUCCUCAUCUGUUUGUUGAUGGGCUAGUACAAACAAGCACAACCUUCCAAAUGAUGACACCAGGCAUGGGCUCUGUCUGGAAUCUGCUUCUGUCAGGCAUCUAAGCCUCUGUCUGUCGGAGAUGAGGUGGACCGAAGCAAGCUCUUGUUGCCAUUGUGAUUAACACAGAGCCCCACACAUCUGAGUACUCCUAGGGAUGUCUUGUUUUCCUUGCAGACAUGUCUUACAGGCAGAGCCUUAGGUUUUUUAUGCUGGCCCAGGUUUUCUAGCCAGUUGGUAGCCCUGCUGAGCACAGAUUAGCUACCUGGCAUGUGCACAGCCAGCCUGAAAGUCCUGGGGAUUUCCGACAGUUUUGUUCUGCUUGUGUAAAUGAUAGUAUGGUAAGUCUGGAGUGCCCAGGAUUGUGGCUUUGCCAUGCUCACUCAUGUUAUUCAAUGAAGGCAAGCAUACAUACUCUCAGAUCUACUGAACAUACACAGAACUGUGCAGAGUCAGUCUGGAUGCUUCCUGAAAUGCUGGGUUUGUAACACAUGGUCUAUAGAGCUCAUUUACACAUAUCUCCAUCUGGGAAAUCCCAGAGAAAGGGUUAUGGCAGCCUGACUAUUAAAUUAAUUUAAUUUUCUUUCCUUAAGGGCAUCUCCAUUUAACAGCAGUCACAGUUUUAUCCUCUGAAAAGAAAUUCUGAAGUUACGCUUAGCUAACCCUAAUUAUUUGUCAAUUUAUGUUUGCAUCCUCCUGUGACCCAUCUUCAGAGCACCUGAUAUGAGCCUGCUCUCAGGACUCAGGAGUACCACCAAGAACCCAAAGGUUUGCUCCCUACAGCUGUAGGAGCCACACAAUGAGAUAGAGUCAAGAGGAGGUUAGAUCAGGGGAGCGCUAGCAUUACAGGUAGCACAAGAAUUAGUUGUAACCCAUCACUGGAUAUGAAGUGAUUCAACAUGAUGAGUGUGAGUAGUGGCCCACCAUGACAAAGUGGAGGAGGUAAGGAAAGAGAUGGCAAUAGGACUAGGAAGUCUUGCAGUUUGGAUCACUCCUGAAACACUGGAUUUCUGCCAAUGUUUUAAUCAGCGGUAUUUUGAGGCAUCUCUGAGGAGGGAGUUUAAAGCCAAAAACCGGUCACAGCCUUUUCACACUGGGAAUUCACUAUUGAUGAUUUGUCACACGAAACUGGGCAGCUAAAAGCUACUCUGCUGGUCUGGACUGGUUGGCUAAAGCUCUUUAAACCUAGAAUAACUCAUAUGAACAUAAACAGCCCAUAGUGGGUGGUGCAGCACAAGUGCUCAAGCUUCUCCAGACCCUGUGUGCAGUUAUUUGUAGGAACUGGACCCACAGUUUUGCUCACACAGGCAUUUACACACAGGUACCUAACCAUUGACAUUUCGCAGUUGAGCAGAGCAGAGAUCAGUCUACCGCAUUUUCUCUCCUGCAAGCUGGAGGGAAGAGAUUUCAGCUCUGUAUUCAGAAAUCCUAAGCUUCCCUCCACCCCCCCUCCCCAUUUUUGACUUCAGUAUAGAAAAGUUACAAUGAAAUUAAACAUGUCAGUAAAAUUGAACCUCACAAAUAUUUCAUGAUUAAUUUAAUGGCUCCAGUACUUCAUUGUUGCUUAUUAUUGUGGUCACAAUUAUGGAAAGAAUAAAGUGAUUGAUUCCUUAUG